CACGGGGGGAGCAAGCGUUGUUCGGAAUCACUGGGCGUAAAGGGCGUCUAGGCGGUUAGGUAAGUGGGAUGUGAAAUCCCUCGGCUCACCCGAGGACCUGCAUCCCAAACUGCUUAGCUUGAGUAUGGGAGAGGAUGAGGGAAUUCCUGGUGUAGCGGUGAAAUGCGUAGAUAUCAGGAGGAACACCGGUGGCGAAGGCGCUCAUCUGGCCCAAUACUGACGCUGAAGCGCGAAAGCUAGGGGAGCAAACAGG
RNAcentral lists this ribosomal RNA (253 nucleotides) under uncultured bacterium. RNAcentral describes it as "partial 16S ribosomal RNA". It matches the Rfam family "Bacterial small subunit ribosomal RNA", at positions 524 to 776 of the family's 1533-position model. The record is from RNAcentral.